This is a long non-coding RNA of Esox lucius (northern pike), 1044 nucleotides long. NCBI's taxonomy places the organism in Eukaryota, Metazoa, Chordata, Actinopteri, Esociformes, Esocidae. The record is from Ensembl.
AAUUUGACACUUCAACUUGCCGUGGUUCUCUACGGUAGUUGAUUCAGUCACUCACACACACACACACACAUCAACGCUACCUUGGGUGCUUUUUCUUGUAUCUGUGAAGUGGAAAGGAACGCAGUAUACACGAGAUUCUGAAAAACAAACCGGAUUUCUUCUCCAAGCCGAGGUUCCAAGAUAAAACUCACAAAGAUGGUUAGAGGGGAAGGAUCGAACGGGCCUGCCUCUACAGAACCAACCUCAAUCGUUAGCCAGCUCCUGAAACAGUUUGCAGGAGAGGGAAGGACAUGAGGUGUGAAGGGGAGCCAAGGUAUCUCCCUUGGCGGACGAAAAGGGCAAGAGCAAACCCGAAAAGGCGGAGGAAGAAAAGAGGAAUAAGGAAAGAUGGAGAGGAUGUGGAAUGGCGAUAAAGGACAGGAUUGGAGGGGGAGGGACCGGAAGUAGAGGCGAUGGAAGGAGUGCUUGUAUCACAUGGAUGGUAAUUGUGUUGGUGUUGUGCUCCUGUCAAGCUGUCAGUAUAAAUCUGUUUGAUGGGUCACUUUGUAAAUCAUUAUGGAGCCUAAAAGCCUUUCUAUUGAACUCCAGAGGAACACGCUGCUGUAUGUUUCCUUUGUACCUCCAUGACUACAAUGUUAAUAUUGUUUGUUUUCCGGCCGUCCAGCGGUGAGGAUAUUAUUAGCUUAUAUCUCCUGUUUAAUUUUUUCCACUCCUCUCUUUUGUCCUUAAAGGGGGAGUGGAGUGGGAAUGUGUAUUACGGUUUCUAAAAUGUAAAUGUCAGAUUUGAUCCUGCUUGCGUUGCUGUCUUGUGUGUGUUCCACCUUGUUGCUGAUUCCUAGGGAGUACUGCUUGGCGUCCAUCAGUAAUGGCUUCCUAUUCCUUAUGUAGUGAACAAUGUUUGGUCCCUCCGUGUUGUCUGUGGGUCAGCUGAGGCCAGGGCCAGUAGUAAGAACCCGAGGAAUGUCUCACGCUGUGCCACUUCAUGGCCAGAUUUCAGCCUGUCUGUAGUGUGCAUGGUAUAGAGUAUUUUGGCGCUGUAGUGUG